Molecule: ribosomal RNA, 440 nt
Filed under: uncultured Barnesiella sp.
Lineage: Bacteria; Pseudomonadati; Bacteroidota; Bacteroidia; Bacteroidales; Barnesiellaceae
Description: bacterial SSU rRNA
Rfam family: Bacterial small subunit ribosomal RNA
Source: RNAcentral
UGAGGAAUAUUGGUCAAUGGGCGCAGGCCUGAACCAGCCAAGUCGCGUGAGGGAAGACGGUCCUACGGAUUGUAAACCUCUUUUGUCGGGGAGUAACGUGCGGGACGGGUCCCGUAUUGAGAGUACCCGAAGAAAAGCAUCGGCUAACUCCGUGCCAGCAGCCGCGGUAAUACGGAGGAUGCGAGCGUUAUCCGGAUUUAUUGGGUUUAAAGGGUGCGUAGGCGGCAUGAAAAGUCAGCGGUAAAAUAGCGGGGCUCAACCCCGUCGAGCCGUUGAAACUUUCAGGCUUGAGUGAGCGAGAAGUAUGCGGAAUGCGUGGUGUAGCGGUGAAAUGCAUAGAUAUCACGCAGAACUCCGAUUGCGAAGGCAGCAUACCGGCGCUCAACUGACGCUGAGGCACGAAAGUGCGGGGAUCAAACAGGCUUAGAUACCCUGGUAGU